Molecule: ribosomal RNA, 813 nt
Filed under: uncultured bacterium
Lineage: Bacteria
Description: bacterial SSU rRNA
Rfam family: Bacterial small subunit ribosomal RNA
Source: RNAcentral
UCGACGCGUUGGCCAAUUGAUUGAUGGUGCUUGCACCUGAUUGAUUUUGGUUGCCAACGAGUGGCGGACGGGUGAGUAACACGUAGGUAACCUGCCCAGAAGCGGGGGACAACAUUUGGAAACAGAUGCUAAUACCGCAUAACAGCGUUGUUCGCAUGAACAACGCUUAAAAGAUGGCUUCUCGCUAUCACUUCUGGAUGGACCUGCGGUGCAUUAGCUUGUUGGUGGGGUAACGGCCUACCAAGGCGAUGAUGCAUAGCCGAGUUGAGAGACUGAUCGGCCACAAUGGGACUGAGACACGGCCCAUACUCCUACGGGAGGCAGCAGUAGGGAAUCUUCCACAAUGGGCGCAAGCCUGAUGGAGCAACACCGCGUGAGUGAAGAAGGGUUUCGGCUCGUAAAGCUCUGUUGUUAAAGAAGAACACGUAUGAGAGUAACUGUUCAUACGUUGACGGUAUUUAACCAGAAAGUCACGGCUAACUACGUGCCAGCAGCCGCGGUAAUACGUAGGUGGCAAGCGUUAUCCGGAUUUAUUGGGCGUAAAGAGAGUGCAGGCGGUUUUCUAAGUCUGAUGUGAAAGCCUUCGGCUUAACCGGAGAAGUGCAUCGGAAACUGGAUAACUUGAGUGCAGAAGAGGGUAGUGGAACUCCAUGUGUAGCGGUGGAAUGCGUAGAUAUAUGGAAGAACACCAGUGGCGAAGGCGGCUACCUGGUCUGCAACUGACGCUGAGACUCGAAAGCAUGGGUAGCGAACAGGAUUAGAUACCCUGGUAGUCCAUGCCGUAAACGAUGAGUGCUAGGUGUUGGAGGGUUU